CNCAAACCUCACACGUAGGAAAAGGGCUGG
This 30-nucleotide non-coding RNA is filed under the name Mus musculus (house mouse). Lineage: Eukaryota; Metazoa; Chordata; Mammalia; Rodentia; Muridae. The record is from RNAcentral.